GACGAACGCUGGCGGCAGGCCUAACACAUGCAAGUCGAGCGCCCCUGCAAGGGGAGCGGCGGACGGGUGAGUAACGCGUGGGAAUUUUUCCUGGAGUACGGAACAACCGAGGGAAACUUCGGCUAAUACCGUAUGAUGCCGAGAGGCCAAAGAUUUAUCGCUCUGGGUGAGCCCGCGUCAGAUUAGGUAGUUGGUGGGGUAAAGCCUACCAAGCCUGCGAUCUGUAGCUGGUCUGAGAGGACGACCAGCCAC
RNAcentral lists this ribosomal RNA (252 nucleotides) under uncultured bacterium. RNAcentral describes it as "partial 16S ribosomal RNA". It matches the Rfam family "Bacterial small subunit ribosomal RNA", at positions 28 to 311 of the family's 1533-position model. The record is from RNAcentral.